GAUGAGGUGGCCGAGUGGUUAAGGCGAUGGAUUGCUAAUCCAUUGGGUUAUGCCCACGUGGGUUCAAAUCCCAUCCUCGUCG
RNAcentral lists this transfer RNA (82 nucleotides) under Limulus polyphemus (Atlantic horseshoe crab). RNAcentral's name for it is "tRNA-Ser". It matches the Rfam family "tRNA". Rfam says of the family: Transfer RNA (tRNA) molecules are approximately 80 nucleotides in length. Their secondary structure includes four short double-helical elements and three loops (D, anti-codon, and T loops). Lineage: Eukaryota; Metazoa; Arthropoda; Merostomata; Xiphosura; Limulidae. The record is from RNAcentral.